Molecule: ribosomal RNA, 552 nt
Filed under: uncultured bacterium
Lineage: Bacteria
Description: bacterial SSU rRNA
Rfam family: Bacterial small subunit ribosomal RNA
Source: RNAcentral
ACUCCUACGGGAGGCAGCAGCAAGGAAUUUUGCGCAAUGGGCGGAAGCCUGACGCAGCGACGCCGCGUGAGGGAUGAAGGCCUUCGGGUUGUAAACCUCUUUUCCUGAGGAAGAAUAAUGACGGUACUCAGGGAAUAAGUCUUGGCUAACUACGUGCCAGCAGCCGCGGUAAUACGUAGGAGGCGAACGUUAUUCGGAUUUACUGGGCGUAAAGAGGGUGUAGACGGCUUUUUAAGUCAGUUGUGAAAUCUCCUGACUCAAUCCGGAGGAGUCAAUUGAUACUGAAAAGCUCGAGGACAGCAGAAGAAAGUGGAAUUCCAGGUGUAGCGGUGACAUGCGUAGAUAUCUGGAGGAACACCAGUGGCGAAGGCGGCUUUCUAGGCUGUUCCUGACGUUGAUGCCCAAAAGCGUGGGGAGCGAAACGUAUUAGAUACACGUGUAGUCCACGCCCUAAACGUUGGACACUAGGUAUGGGGAGUAUCGACCCUUUUCGUGCCGAAGCUAACGCUUUAAGUGUCCCGCCUGGGGACUACGGCCGCAAGGCUAAAACUC